UACGGAGGAUCCGAGCGUUAUCCGGAUUUAUUGGGUUUAAAGGGUGCGUAGGCGGUUUGAUAAGUUAGAGGUGAAAUGUCGGGGCUCAACCCCGAAACUGCCUCUAAUACUGUUGGACUAGAGAAUAGUUGCGGUAGGCGGAAUGUAUGGUGUAGCGGUGAAAUGCUUAGAGAUCAUACAGAACACCGAUUGCGAAGGCAGCUUACCAAACUAUAUCUGACGUUGAGGCACGAAAGCGUGGGGAGCAAACAGG
This 253-nucleotide ribosomal RNA is filed under the name uncultured bacterium. RNAcentral's name for it is "partial 16S ribosomal RNA". It matches the Rfam family "Bacterial small subunit ribosomal RNA", at positions 524 to 776 of the family's 1533-position model. The record is from RNAcentral.